This 840-nucleotide ribosomal RNA is filed under the name Triticum aestivum (bread wheat). Its description in RNAcentral is "partial small subunit ribosomal RNA". The record is from RNAcentral. Lineage: Eukaryota; Viridiplantae; Streptophyta; Magnoliopsida; Poales; Poaceae.
AUGCAGAAUGUGAUCUACGAGGGUAGGCAUGGCGGUGCCUACGAUCCGGACGAGACCCAAAGUCAGGAUGGCCGCGCCCAGUACGUUGCCGAUGAAGAGCCCAACGACCGUGCUGACUACGACCAUGGUGACGCAUGGCAUGAAGACGAUGACAUCUAUUGCGAAGGUGAUGGUGAUGAAGAAGAAGGCAAUGACAUUGAUAUUAGUGACGAGCCAUUGUUCAUCGACGAGCUCACCCAAAGAACGGAAGCACAAAAGAGGAGGAAGAGCAUUCGCAUAGGUUCAUAUUCACAAGAGGAGGACAAGUUGAUUUGCCAAUGUUGGAUGGAGAUUAGCCAGGAUUCGAGGACCGGCACGCAAUAAAAGGGCCUUGUUUUUUGGACGAGAGUCCACAAAACAUUCCAUGAAAGGAAGAUGUUUGAGCCCUAUCGAAUUACGAGCAAGCGUGGCAUCACCUUGAUUCAAAAGAGGUGGUUGUUCAUCCAACAAGAGUGCAACAAGUAUUGUACCGCACUUGAGAGCGUUGAAGCACGGCCCGUGAGUGGUCUCGGCAUUGGGGACAUGGUAUGCUCUCCACAUUCUAGUUCUUUCGUUGCUACGGCCAUGAGACUUCGGCCUUGUAUAUGUUUGCAUGUUCAAUUGUGGUUGAUCAUGUGGUGUAAGCAUUUCAAUUUUUGGAAGCAUUCAAGGCCCGGCAAUAUGACAACCCAUUCACUCUUACGCAUUGUUGGUCGAUCAUCAACAAUUGCCCUAAGUUCAAGGAUCAAUACCGUGAACUUCAAAGGAAGAGAGGCAAGAAGACGGCCGCGUUGGCCGGAGGUGGAGAUGGCGAGGCGUUGA